UCCGUGCCAGCAGCCGCGGUAAUACGGAGGGUGCGAGCGUUAAUCGGAAUUACUGGGCGUAAAGCGCAUGCAGGUGGUUUGUUAAGUCAGAUGUGAAAGCCCCGGGGCUCAACCUCGGAAUUGCAUUUGAAACUGGCAGACUAGAGUACUGUAGAGGGGGUAGAAUUUCAGGUGUAGCGGUGAAAUGCGUAGAGAUCUGAAGGAAUACCGGUGGCGAAGGCGGCCCCCUGGACAGAUACUGACACUCAGAUGCGAAAGCGUGGGGAGCAAACAGGAUUAGAUACCCUGGUAG
Molecule: ribosomal RNA, 292 nt
Filed under: uncultured bacterium
Lineage: Bacteria
Description: partial 16S ribosomal RNA
Rfam family: Bacterial small subunit ribosomal RNA
Source: RNAcentral